This 493-nucleotide ribosomal RNA is filed under the name uncultured bacterium. Its description in RNAcentral is "partial 16S ribosomal RNA". It matches the Rfam family "Bacterial small subunit ribosomal RNA", at positions 28 to 507 of the family's 1533-position model. The record is from RNAcentral.
GACGAACGCUGGCGGCGUGCUUAGCACAUGCAAGUCGAACGGUGAAGGGACCGGUUUUUGCUGGUUCUGGAUGAGUGGCGAACGGGUGAGUAACACGUGAGUAACCUGCCCCCUUCUUCUGGAUAACCGCAUGAAAGUGUGGCUAAUACGGGAUAUUCUGCGCCUGCUGCAUGGUGGGUGUGGGAAAGAUAUUGUUUCGGUGGGGGAUGGGCUCGCGGCCUAUCAGCUUGUUGGUGGGGUGAUGGCCUACCAAGGCGGUGACGGGUAGCCGGCCUGAGAGGGUGGACGGUCACACUGGGACUGAGACACGGCCCAGACUCCUACGGGAGGCAGCAGUGGGGAAUAUUGCACAAUGGGCGCAAGCCUGAUGCAGCGACGCCGCGUGAGGGAUGGAGGCCUUCGGGUUGUAAACCUCUUUCGCCAGUGAAGCAGGCCUGUCCCUUUUGUGGGUGGGUUGACGGUAGCUGGAUAAGAAGCGCCGGCUAACUACGUG